This 251-nucleotide ribosomal RNA is filed under the name uncultured bacterium. Its description in RNAcentral is "partial 16S ribosomal RNA". It matches the Rfam family "Bacterial small subunit ribosomal RNA", at positions 526 to 776 of the family's 1533-position model. The record is from RNAcentral.
CAGAGGUCUCGAGCGUUAGGCGGAAUCACUGGGCUUAAAGCGUGUGUAGGCGGGUCGUUAAGUACCUUGUGAAAUCCCAUGGCUCAACCAUGGAACUGCUUGGUAUACUGGCGAUCUUGUGCAACCUAGGGGCGAGCGGAACAGAUGGUGGAGCGGUGAAAUGCGUAGAUAUCAUCUGGAACGCCAAUGGUGAAAACAGCUCGCUGGGGGUUUGCAGACGCUGAGACACGAAAGCCAGGGGAGCGAACGGG